GAUGAACGCUGGCGGCGUGCCUAAUACAUGCAAGUCGAGCGAACAGACGAGGAGCUUGCUCCUCUGACGUUAGCGGCGGACGGGUGAGUAACACGUGGAUAACCUACCUAUAAGACUGGGAUAACUUCGGGAAACCGGAGCUAAUACCGGAUAAUAUAUUGAACCGCAUGGUUCAAUAGUGAAAGACGGUUUUGCUGUCACUUAUAGAUGGAUCCGCGCCGCAUUAGCUAGUUGGUAAGGUAACGGCUUACCAAGGCAACGAUGCGUAGCCGACCUGAGAGGGUGAUCGGCCACACUGGAACUGAGACACGGUCCAGACUCCUGCGGGAGGCAGCAGUAGGGAAUCUUCCGCAAUGGGCGAAAGCCUGACGGAGCAACGCCGCGUGAGUGAUGAAGGUCUUCGGAUCGUAAAACUCUGUUAUUAGGGAAGAACAAAUGUGUAAGUAACUAUGCACGUCUUGACGGUACCUGAUCAGAAAGCCACGGCUAACUACGUG
Molecule: ribosomal RNA, 497 nt
Filed under: uncultured bacterium
Lineage: Bacteria
Description: partial 16S ribosomal RNA
Rfam family: Bacterial small subunit ribosomal RNA
Source: RNAcentral